GUGCGACAAAAAUUAAAGGAGAGGGUGUGUAUGAGUUAUGGGGCAUGGGUUUUUUUCUUAAUACCGCACUUUUCUUCCUCCUUGUUCCCUUCCUUCCACUUCUCGAAUCCUCCUCUUCAAGAUCUGAUCUAAGAGAGGAAGGCCUUAGAGAGAGAAAGAAAAUCAAGAAGGAUUCUUGAUUUUUUUUGUGAUCUAGAAGAAUCUUUGCGAUUUAGCACAAAAGGUUUGUGCAAGGCCCUAUUCAAUUAUUUCUAAUAGCAAUGGGACAAGAUCCAAUGCUGAGG
Molecule: long non-coding RNA, 284 nt
Filed under: Elaeis guineensis (African oil palm)
Lineage: Eukaryota; Viridiplantae; Streptophyta; Magnoliopsida; Arecales; Arecaceae
Description: long non-coding RNA (EGUI_LNC060501)
Source: RNAcentral